GGCCUACCGGAUUGCCUUAGCUCGUGUGGGGAAGAGCCUUUCACGAAGUACAAGACUUUAAGUAUCUGCUAGCACUCAACAUGAAGGAUUUAGAGGAUAGGUUGUGCAACAUGUUACGGAGUCGUCCUCGGUGGAAAAGUUCUUCGGUGAAGAAGUGUCAAGUGGUACAGUGUGUCCAAAUGGGAUUUGCUGGACAUGGUGUAUGAAGUCGGAAAAUUGUUCGGAGAAGACCGGAGUCGUCAAGUCCUAGAUGAAGCUGUGUCUGCUGUUCAGGGAUGUGAGAAGAGGUGCAACGUCGAACAGGUCAUAAAGACUUUGGUUAGUGAAUUUAAAGGGCAUGGGGUGUCUCUUCUUGAGGCUGACAAAAUCGGGCAGUUUGUCCUACUAAGUCGCGAUGAGUUUUCAUGUAGGGAGAAGGCAGCCUUAGAAAAGAACUUCGUUCCUGUUAGGAGUAGCCAUGUUAAAGAGUGUAAGAGGAAGAUUAUAGAGUUGUUUAGGAAGAAUGAUCGGGAGGGUUUGUGUAAUGCAAUCAGGAAGACUGUUGGGCAGUUUUUGAAAGUGUUUUAUUUGGUCAAACUUCAUAAGGAGGGAUACCCUUUUCGGGUUGUUAUUUCGGAAAGAAACACAUGGCAAGGGGUGGUUAGUACCUUUUUAUUGAAAGGUCCCAAUGAGCUGAAGUUUGAAGACCCGUUUAGAAUUACAAACUCCUGCGGUGUAAUUGAAAAGUUAAGGUGUGUUGAAAGUAAGAAGGUUCGUUUUUUUUUCUUUGGAUGUUGUUGAUCUGUUCCAUAGUUUGCCUUUGCAUAUCAUUUCUGCGUGUGUACAGGAAGCAAUAUCUGUUGGGUUAGUGUCCUUCCAAAAUACUGUUGGUGUAUCAGCUAGUGUUUUCAUGGAUAUUCUAGAAUUGUAUUUAGAUUCUACUGUUGUGCAGGUGUCGGGUGGGGUUUUCCGACAACGGGAUGGUGCGUGUAUAGGAUCAAAAAUUGCUCCGGUACUUAAUGAUUUGGUUUUGGCUAAGGUAGAUAGAGCUGUUUCUGAGAACUUGGGGGGUGGGAGAUUUGGGGUUGAAUUUAUUACUAGGUAUGUUGAUGACUUUCUGGUAUGUGUGAGUAUGGAAGGAGAUGAAUCGGGUAUACAGGGUUUGUUUGUUGGAGAGGGUUUAGGUUUAAAGUUUACUGUGGAAAGGGAAGGAAAUGGUCAAAUUCAGUACUUGGAUCUUCGGAUUUCCUCUGAUGGGAUUGGAGUAUGUUGGGAAUAUUGCCAGCGAUGUAAAAAACCGUUAAAGGGACGGUCUCGUACAGCCGGGGCGAUUCCGAAACUUUGGUACUACUAUCUUCACGA
Molecule: long non-coding RNA, 1341 nt
Organism: Ornithodoros turicata
Lineage: Eukaryota; Metazoa; Arthropoda; Arachnida; Ixodida; Argasidae
Exons: 3
Source: RefSeq, a predicted model, not a curated record